RNAcentral lists this ribosomal RNA (483 nucleotides) under uncultured bacterium. RNAcentral's name for it is "partial 16S ribosomal RNA". It matches the Rfam family "Bacterial small subunit ribosomal RNA", at positions 899 to 1397 of the family's 1533-position model. The record is from RNAcentral.
ACUCAAAGGAAUAGACGGGGACUCGCACAAGCAGUGGAUCAUGCGGCUUAAUUCGAUGAUUAACGAAGAACCUUACCAAGGCUAGAAAUCCAGCUGCAUCCCACCCGAAAGGGAGGGAGCCUUCGAGGGUGCUGGACAGGUGGUGCAUGGUUGUCGUCAGUUCGUGGCUUGAGCUGUUCCCUUCAGUGGGGUAACGAACGCAACCCCCGUUGUCUGUUAAAUAUGUCAGGCGAGACUGCCCCCUCACGGGGGAGGAAGGUGGGGAUGACGCCAAAUCAGCAUGCCCUUAGAUGCCUUGGGCCGCACGCAUGAUACAAUGGGUAGUACAGAAGGAUGCAAGACCGCAAGGUGGAGCCAAUCCCAAAAACUACCCCCAGUACGGAUAGCGGUCUGCAACCGACCGCUUGAAGCCGGAAUUGCUAGUAAUCGUGGGUCAGCCACACCACGGUGAAUACGUUCUCGAGUCUUGUACACACCGCCCGU